RNAcentral lists this ribosomal RNA (501 nucleotides) under uncultured bacterium. Its description in RNAcentral is "partial 16S ribosomal RNA". It matches the Rfam family "Bacterial small subunit ribosomal RNA", at positions 30 to 523 of the family's 1533-position model. The record is from RNAcentral.
AUUGAACGCUGGCGGCAGGCUUAACACAUGCAAGUCGAGCGGAGAGAGGUAGCUUGCUACUGAUCUUAGCGGCGGACGGGUGAGUAAUGCUUAGGAAUCUGCCUAUUAGUGGGGGACAACAUUUCGAAAGGAAUGCUAAUACCGCAUACGUCCUACGGGAGAAAGCAGGGGAUCUUAGGACCUUGCGCUAAUAGAUGAGCCUAAGUCGGAUUAGCUAGUUGGUGGGGUAAAGGCCUACCAAGGCGACGAUCUGUAGCGGGUCUGAGAGGAUGAUCCGCCGCACCGGGACUGAGACACGGCCCAGACUCCUACGGGAGGCAGCAGUGGGGAAUAUUGGACAAUGGGCGGAAGCCUGAUCCAGCCAUGCCGCGUGUGUGAAGAAGGCCUUAUGGUUGUAAAGCACUUUAAACGAGGAGGAGGCUACUUUAGUUAAUACCUAGAGAUAGUGGACGUUACUCGCAGAAUAAGCACCGGCUAACUCUGUGCCAGCAGCCGCCGUAA